Long non-coding RNA from Dermochelys coriacea (leatherback sea turtle), 758 nucleotides. RefSeq lists it as uncharacterized. The transcript has 3 exons. Lineage: Eukaryota; Metazoa; Chordata; Testudines; Dermochelyidae. The record is from RefSeq and is a predicted model, not a curated record.
AAUCUAGAUCAUAAAACAUACUGGGGCUAUGCAGAGUGGCUCUGUCAAUAUGAAUCUUACUGUGACUAGGUGAACUCACGCCACACUGGACAGGAAUGGGUUAACUCCUCCUUGCUGGCUGAGGAAGCCCCGCCCCCAAAUCCCUACUGAGCAUGCCCCAACUCCAGUACCAGUAUAACAGUGAGCAGCUUAGCUCAGUCUGGGCUGACUAUCAGAGAGGAAGGAUGACCAUUGCAGGCUCUAGAGCCAUGGCAUCCCCCAACAGGAGGAGCCAAGACCCCAGCAGAGAUCCAAAUACCUGUGGACAUGCUAGGGACUUCGGAGCCACUGGAAACAGCCUAGGCAGAGGAUCCUGGGAACCCUAAAGCCACCAAGGUCACAGAUGCAGGAGUCGAACAAUCAACUCUAUCAGCCAGACGGUGGAAGGAGACUACAGAUUCCUCAUGCAGAAUAUCACUGUUUGGACUUUUUCAGCUGCGUUCAAGCAUGAAUCAGCUGUCGUACUUUACUCCAUUUCUCCACAAGGGUGCUGCAAUUGAGCUUCACAUAAAGUACGUGUAACAGCAAACAAGCUUCAACCCUUGCCUGCCACUGGGCUCCUUUUAUUUUGAUUUGAACCAAUCUGCUCUUUCAAAAUUCUCAUUAUCCAGAUUGGAGAUACAGAGGGUUUGAUUUUUCACUACCUUUCAAUUUGUUUAGUCAUUUACAGCUGUACAAAGUGAAUAAAAAGUGUAAAACACUACCAGUCCACUUCAGUA